UGGCUAGGUGAAAGGAUGCAACAGGUGAA
Molecule: non-coding RNA, 29 nt
Filed under: Macaca fascicularis (crab-eating macaque)
Lineage: Eukaryota; Metazoa; Chordata; Mammalia; Primates; Cercopithecidae
Also listed under: 1 other name
Source: RNAcentral